CGGAUGGGUGAGUAACACGUGGGGAACCUGCCCCUAAGUCUGGGAUACCAUUUGGAAACAGGUGCUAAUACCGGAUAAUAAAGCAGAUCGCAUGAUCAGCUUUUGAAAGGCGGCGUAAGCUGUCGCUAAGGGAUGGCCCCGCGGUGCAUUAGCUAGUUGGUAAGGUAACGGCUUACCAAGGCGACGAUGCAUAGCCGAGUUGAGAGACUGAUCGGCCACAUUGGGACUGAGACACGGCCCAAACUCCUACGGGAGGCAGCAGUAGGGAAUCUUCCACAAUGGACGCAAGUCUGAUGGAGCAACGCCGCGUGAGUGAAGAAGGUUUUCGGAUCGUAAAGCUCUGUUGUUGGUGAAGAAGGAUAGAGGUAGUAACUGGCCUUUAUUUGACGGUAAUCAACCAGAAAGUCACGGCUAACUACGUGCCAGCAGCCGCGGUAAUACGUAGGUGGCAAGCGUUGUCCGGAUUUAUUGGGCGUAAAGCGAGCGCAGGCGGAAAAAUAAGUCUAAUGUGAAAGCCCUCGGCUUAACCGAGGAACUGCAUCGGAAACUGUUUUUCUUGAGUGCAGAAGAGGAGAGUGGAACUCCAUGUGUAGCGGUGGAAUGCGUAGAUAUAUGGAAGAACACCAGUGGCGAAGGCGGCUCUCUGGUCUGCA
RNAcentral lists this ribosomal RNA (653 nucleotides) under uncultured bacterium. RNAcentral's name for it is "bacterial SSU rRNA". It matches the Rfam family "Bacterial small subunit ribosomal RNA", at positions 99 to 738 of the family's 1533-position model. The record is from RNAcentral.